CACCUCAACAUGAGCACGAGGAAUUCUUGACUGUACAUUGUAGCUGCAUUCCACCGGAAUUAGCUCGUCGUCCUCGCCGUGGAACACCGUAAUUUCACAUUUUAGCUUGUUCCUUACCAUAUCUAAGUAUCCUUCCAUUUUUCCAGCAGUUCCACAAAUUAUGUUGUGUAGUGUAUGCCAUGCUGCGUUGUGUGUGUGGCAGCAGCUUCACAUUUUAGCUUGUUCCUUACCAUGUCUAAGUAUCCUUCUAUUUUUCCAGCAGUUCCACAUAUUAUGUUGUGUAGUGUAUGCCAUGCUGCGUUGUGUGUGUGGCAACAGAACCCCUCUAUUAAAUAUGUCUUAAUCCUGCAUUCAAUAUUUCGUCAGAUUCUACUAACGAAUUUAACUUCUAUACACUAACAAUGCUAUGAAUUUUCACAUGCGGAUGGGUGGCAAUGGGGGCGGGGUGGGACGGCAUGGGUGCAGUGCAGGUUGGAGCUUACCCCGCAAAAUUUUUUUACCCGCCCACACGUAUGUUGCUAUAAGAAGCAUGGAUGGAUGCCUAUGUAGCAUGGCAAGUGACAUGUUAGAACAGGUAGAACGUAGAACUAUAUAUAUGCAGGUAGUGAAAAAAUAUUUUUAUCGUCGCUGUAUUAAGUUUAAAUUAUUU
RNAcentral lists this long non-coding RNA (649 nucleotides) under Nicotiana benthamiana. Its description in RNAcentral is "long non-coding RNA (NBEN_LNC005955)". Lineage: Eukaryota; Viridiplantae; Streptophyta; Magnoliopsida; Solanales; Solanaceae. The record is from RNAcentral.